AGGCGUGUGACUGGCGGAAUUGUGGGAGGAACCACAGGGGAGCACGCAUAUGGAUUUUGAACUCAUUUUUGAAGCCGGCCGCCUGGGCACACC
Molecule: non-coding RNA, 93 nt
Filed under: uncultured Enterocloster sp.
Lineage: Bacteria; Bacillati; Bacillota; Clostridia; Lachnospirales; Lachnospiraceae
Description: ZMP/ZTP riboswitch
Rfam family: ZMP/ZTP riboswitch aptamer (pfl RNA motif)
About the family: Previously known as pfl RNA. ZMP is also known as AICAR.
Source: RNAcentral